UGAAUGAAAUGCAAUAACGGGUAGUUGUUGUGCGUUGUAUCUUCGUGAUCCCCUGUUAUGUUGUGCUAUCUGUUAUGUGUUGCUAUUAUCACAACCUGAAUAGGUUGUCUGAAUUUGUGAUGGGGCUAGCUUUCGGUAACUUGUUAUUAGGUAAAGACUUGGCAAAUGUAAUCGUGAUAUGGAACUGCUCAUAUUUGGUUUCUUGAAGACUAGACAAUCCUUACUAUUCGUGUUCAUGGAUAUUAACUUUUUUAUUUUUGUUGGUUUCACUCGAGAUCACUGCAACUGGUCUGCCUGCUGGCUGGAUGCUUCGUUAGAUUAUGUGUAUGGUUUCUCUUGUCAAGAACAAAUUCUUUGACAGCAAAAUGGAUGUACAGAGAUGGAUUUAGAAAUGGAGGAGUAAUUUAUUUGUUGUAUGAUUCAACCAUAAAAUUUAUAUAUUUUCAGUGUGGAUUCAUAUAUGCUCAACAAGUUACCCCUAGUUGCACUUGCACUUAUUUAUGUUGAAGUUGUUGACGUAUAUCUAGAACGUUUACAACAUGUGUUGCCGCACAUUGUCCUCAUCAUCCAUAAUCAUGUUGUGCAAGAUUACAAAACAUGUCAUCAACUGCACAAUAUCAUUGGAUCCCACAUCAUUGCAGCUCCAUGAACAAAACCCCCAGGAUGCCGGAGCAAUCUGAAUGCCCUAUCCACAUCUUUCCUGGCACCUUCUUGCAUUCUUGCAAAAUGACAUUAUUUGUUACCUUGGCGCUUAGAUAUAGUCUUCACAAAAGCUGUCCACUGGGGACAAAUACCAUUGGCAAGGUACUAUCCAUUUUGUAGUUAUGCAUGUUGACAAUGUAGUUGCAUGCUGGAGUAUCACCAUCACAGAGUCUCUUGAACAACGGAGAUUACUAGAGCACAUUGAUGUCGUUAUGCGAACCUCGCAUGUCAAAUCUGCAAAUUCUUUGGUGCCACUGCUUCAAGCAUGAUGGUGGCCUCUUUGGUGCGACCUUGGUAUUGUCCUUGCAAACUUGUCGCGCAAUACUUUGAUAACCCACAAGUAUAGGGGAUCGCUACAGUCUUCAAGUGUAGUAUCUCACCCAAAUUUAUUAAUUCGACACAAGGGGAGCCAAAUAAUAUUUAUGAGCCUUAGCAGUUGAGUUGUCAAUUCAACCACACAUGUGAAAUUAUAUUUCUGCAGCAAAGUGUUCAGUAGCUGAUAUGUCUCCAACGUAUCUAUAAUUUUUGAUUGUUCCAUGCUAUUAUAUUAUCUGUUUUGGAUGUUUUAUAUGCAUUAAUAUGCGAUUUUAUAUUAUUUUUGGGACUAACCUUUUAACCUAGAGCCCAGUGCCAGUGUCUAUUUCCCCCCUUGUUUUUGAGUUUUACAGAAAAAAAAUACCAAACACAAUCCAAACGGAAUAAAACUUUUGCGAUGAUUUUUCUUGGACCAGAAGACACCAGAGGACUUGGAGAGGGGCCAGAAGGUUCCUGAGGAGGCCACAAGCCUCCUAGGCGCGCCGCGGGGGGGGGGCUGAGGGCUUGUGGGCCCCUCGGGAGUCCUCCAACCCUAAUCUUUCCACUAUAAAUUCAGAAAUAUCCCCCCAACAUCAGAGGCAUCCACAAAAAUACUUUUCCACCGCCGCAAGCCUCUGUUCCCGUGAGAUCCCAUCUUGGGGCCUUUUCCGGCACCCUGUCGGAGGGGGAUUCGAUCACAGAGGGCCUCUACAUCAACCUUGAUGCCCUUCUAAUGAAGCGUGAGUAGUUUACCACAGACCUAUGAGUCCAUAGCUAGUAGCUUGAUGGCUUCUUCUCUCUCUUUGAUAUUCAAUACAAUGUUCUCCUCGAUGUUCUUGGAGUUCUAUCCGACGUAAUAUUCUUUUGCGAUGUGUUUGUCGAGAUCCGAUGAAUUGUUGAUUUAUGAUCAGAUUAUCUAUGAAUAUUAUCUGAGUCUUCUCUGAACUCUUUUAUGCAUGAUUAAAUAUCUUUGUAUUUCUCUUCGAAUUAUCGGUUUGGUUUGGCCAACUAGAUUGGGUUUUCUUGCAAUGGGUACCCGCGAGUGAUGUGGAGACGGGUUGGCCAAGAAGGUGCCCGCGAGAUACUUACGAGGCGUGGCCGGACAUUCCUAGCCCCUGCCGCAAGUCCUCGAGACGGGGCAAUGGGGUCACAUCUUUCGUGAGUCUCUGCUUGUUACCACACGUUCCUAAUCCACUACGAUUUGGAUAUUUGAUCCAAGGGGCCUCUGGCCUGAUAGCACUAACCAUCACGUGGGCAUAGUAUGGGCGUUCUGCGUCGUAUACAUCAACCGAAGCUUAAUAGACAUCAGCGACUGAGCGGCGCGCGCCGGGUUGGACUGCGUAAGCACUUGCCUUUUUGAAGGAGGUAGCUAGGUCUGCUCACCGGCCGCCCACACAACGUGCAGGAGUUCCCGGGGAGAUGGCCCAUGACCCCUGGGGGCAUAGGUUUAGUCCGGCAUGCUUGACCUCUCUAUUAAGCCUAGGUCGGGUUGCGGCGUAUUGUUUGGCCGAGGCAGGGCAUGACCGAGGAAAGUGUGUUCGGCCGGAGUUAAUCGAGCGUGGUGGGUAAGUUGGUGCACCCCUGCAGGGAAGAAAACAUCUAUCAAUAGCUCGUCCUACGGUAACGGACACUUGGAGUUGUAUCCCGAUCGAUACAACUAAAACUGGAUACUUGUGAUGAGAAUUGGAUUGUGAUGAGGUGAUAACUGGAUGGUAUGGCUCUGGGAUUGCUUUCUCACAGGGAGUCGAGAAAGGAUCUCUGGCCGAGGUUGAUAACACUACUACUACUUUACUUUAUGCUACUCUACUCCCUCCUGUUUGCUGCAAGAUGGUGGUUUCCUGAAGAUGCUAGUCUUUGAUAGGACUAGGCCUUCUCUCUAUUCUGGCAUUUCUGCAGCCCAGUCCACAUAUACAGCCCCUCUUUGAUAAUGUUGCAUAUGUAGUGUAGAUCCUUGCUUGCGAGUACUUUGGAUGAGUACUCACGGUUGCUUGCUCCCCCUUUUCCCCCUUUCUUCUUCUUUCCGGUUGAUGCAACCAGAUGUCGGAGCCCAGGAUCCAGACGCCACCUUUGACGACGACUGCUACUACCACGAGGGUGCCUACUACUACGUGAAGACCGCUGACGACUAGGAAUAGUUAGGAGGCUCCCAGGCAGGAGGCCUUGCCUUUUCGAUCGUAGAUGCUUUUGUGCUAGCCUUCUUAAGGCAAACUUGUCUAACCUAUGUGUGUACUCACAUAUUGUUGCUUCCGCUGACUCUUGUGUAUUUGAGCUUAUGUAUUCGAGCCCUCGAGGCCCCUGGCUUGUAAUAUAAAGCUUGUAUUAUUUUAAUUUGUGUCUAGAGUUGUGUUGUGACAUCUUCCCGUGAGUCCAUGAUCUUGAUCAUACACAUUUGCGUGUAUGAUUAGUGUACGAUUGAAUCGAGGGUGUCACAAGUUGGUAUCAGAGCCGACUACCUGUAGGUAGCCCCCUUUCCAAUUCCUUGGCCGAAGUUGAGUCUAGUCACUAAAAAACUUGUACUAACAUUGGCUGUGUGUCUUACGGGCCCACAUCGCCAUUGGGUGGUAUUAGGAUCUUUUACUCCUCGUCUAUACUCUAGGACUCUUAACUCUCUUCUACUCGGGUUAAAUGAAUUUACUAACUCUAACAUUAGGAUCCCGUGACCACAUUCACCCCAAAGUUGGAUAAGCCAUAGUUAUUCCUUAGAAUAGCCUCUUGAAUAGUACACACACCGUCGAGUUGACUACUAUGUGGUAUCCAUCAUACCUCUUUCUUUAUGCAUGUUUCAUCAUGAAUGAUCCUUGUAUUUGCAAAUGCUCAAUGCUGAACUACCCCCUGUUACAUGUCAGCAGGAUGGUUAGACCCGCUGGUCGUGGCCAUGGUGCCAACGAUCCACCACCACCCGAAUUCUUUGCCGGAAUGAUGCAGCAAUUUGAGCUGAACCGCCAGUUCAUGGAAGGAAUGAUGGCUCAGUUUCCUUGUCCGAACAUGAAUCAGCAGCCAACCCCAGUAACUCUGCACGACUUCAUGCGCCUCAACCCAACUAUUUACCGCAACUCAACUCAGCCCCUCGAUGCUGAUGACUGGCUCCGCGACAUCACAUAUGAAAUGGAGUCUGCUAGUGUGGCCCCUGCUAGCUAUGUCACCUUUGCAUCAUUCUUUCUGAAGGGUCCCGCUGCUCAAUGGUGGGACAGCCAUAGGCAUACUCUACCUGUUGGAACAGUCAUCACUUGGCCGGAUUUCCAAGCUGCCUUCCGUGCUCGUUUUAUUCCUCAGGGAAUCAUGGACAAGAAGAAGCGCGAGUUCCACAACCUCACCCAAGGAAAUAAGGCUGUAGAUGCUUAUCAGUGGGAAUUUCUAGACUUGUCACGUUAUGCUGAAGAAGACAUUGCAACUGAUGCUCGUAAGCAAGAGAAGUUUCGUGACGGACUUCACCCGUAUAUCAAGCUAGCACUGCUCGUUCAUGACUUUGCUGAUUUCGCCACUUUGGUGAACAAGGCUAUUCAGGUUGAGACUGGUCUUCAGGAACACCAGGGAUCCCUCAGCGCAGCCGUGACGCUGGCUCAUCUUCGGGCCCGUCAGCACAGAAGCGUCGGAUAUGGAUCCCCCACAGCAUGUAUCAUCCAACUGCACCUGCUCCAAGACAUUCCUAUGUUGCACCUCGUCUACCUCCUCCACCGCAAAGGCAACCUCUUCGAGCUGUACCACCCAAAGCUCCUGAUCCCAACCCCAAUGAUGGUCUAUGCUUCAAGUGUGGCCUUCCAGGUCACCGCUCCAGGAAAUGUCCUCAGAAUCAGAAUCAACUCGCUCUUCCUGCUGCUGGUCGUGGUAACAAUCAACCCCGCAACAACAAUGCCCGACCUUAUGGUUGUGGGCAGGCUAACAACAUUGAUCUGAAUGAAGCUCAAGACCAGCCUGCUACUGUGAUGGGUACUCUCCUUGUUAAUUCAGUACCAGCUUCUGUUUUAUUCGAUUCAGGAGCAUCACAUUCAUUCAUGUCAGAAAAUUUUGCAUACGCACAUGACAUUCGAUGUGAGCCCAUGAACACUCUGAUAGUGGUACGCACCCCUGCGGGUCAGUGUUGAACUACCAUGAUUGGUCGCGACGUCCCCGUUGAAAUUGAAGGGUUGGAAUUUCAUGUUUCUCCCAUUAUUCUGGAGUCUUCCAAUAUUGACCUCAUUCUGGGAAUGGAAUGGUUGAAAGCACAAUACUGCCUCUAUCGUUUGCACCACCAAAGUCAUUCAUCUCCUACAUCCUUCCGAUGAGAUAGUAAGCUACCAUGCUCAGAUUGUUCAAAACGCUGAAGCAUGACUUUAUGCUUUGAAUGCGUUGAAUGCAGCACCUCUUGAGGGAAUUGAAAAGAUUCCAGUCGUUCGCGACUUCCAAGACGUAUUUCCAUAAGAACUUCUAGGAAUACCCCAUGCCCGGGCUGUCGAGUUCGUCAUCGACUUGAAACCAGGCACCGUUCCUAUUGCCAAACGACCCUACAAGAUGCCACCUCAUGAACUCCUUGAACUUAAGGAGGAAAUCGACAAAUCUCUUCGUAGUAGUUUCAUUCGUCCAAGUUUCUCUGCUUGGGGAGCACCUUCUCUCUUCGUCAAGAAGAAGGACGGAACGAACCGUCUAGUCCAAGACUACCGUCCUAUCAACCAAGCUACAAUUCAGAACAAAUAUCCCCUUCCUCGGAUCAAUGAUCUGUAUGAUCAACUAGCUGGUUCAUCGAUAUUCUCUAAACUUGACUUGAGGUUGGGUUACCACCAGAUCCGUGUUCGUGAAGAGGAUAUUCCAAAGACUGCAUUCGUCACUCGUUAUGGUUCUUACGAGUACACAAUUAUGUAUUUUGGCUUAACCAAUGCUCCAGCUACAUUCUCUCGUCUGAUGAACUAUAUAUUCAUGGAUUACCUCGACAAGUUUUUCGUAGUCUAUCUGGAUGAUAUACUAGUAUAUUACCGAAAAAAUCUUUCGCCCCGCUUUAUAUAUAAAGCACCAAACCACAAAGACCAUGAUAGAAACUCACGCCACCACCGCACAUGACACACACACCCAAGGCAAGAUACAAGGGUGCCGGGCACCGCCACACCACCCCAACGACUACCAAGCCACUACAAAUGCGCGAGGACAAACUGCUUGGAGCCACCAGAGACCUCCUCCUCCGAGGGGAGGUGAGACGGGAAUGACUGAACCAGGACUCCAAGAUGGUGCCUCCAAGAAGGGAACGACCACGAUAGCCGCCACCAUCCGAUCCCAAAGAUCGGGUUUUCACCCGGAGCAACUCGAAGGAGAAAGGCCACUGCAACGGAGCCUACAGGAAGGAUACGGUGUCCACGGACGCCGCCACCGUCAGCCAAUACAAGAUUGGGCAGGUAAUGAACCCCAGCACGCCCACCCCUCCGAAGCAACCUAGCUCCGUCAACCACCAGCGACCACCCACCCACGUGGCCGUGGCCGCUCGCCCGCACCGAGGCGCAAGUCCCGCCCACGAACUUCGUGCCUCCCACCGCCGGGGCCGCCGCCCUGCAUCCAGACACCCCCAGGACCGACCAAAGUGAUCAGCUUGGGCCAAAGGGCGCACCCGACCGAAGAAACCGCGGCAUACAUCCCGCCUCGAACAACGCCGGAGUUGCGUCAGCCCACACAUGGCUGGGGAACGGGGGAGGAGGGGGAGCGGACGCAUCCGGGCCGGCACACCCCUGUGCCAGCGACGGGUGGCCCGGGCUCGGCGGCGCCUCCCGUCCCUCCAGCCUGCCUCCCCACCGGACAACUCGGUAUCGCCCCACCUCGGCGGCGACCGCAGCUCCACUCGAGGCCACCAACAUACACCCGCCCACCGGCAAGGAGAGAUCCCGAGGGCCGCCACCAAUCGCGAAGGAAGCUCACUGAGGAGCCCAUCUGCGCGGCCCACCGUCGUCCAGCCGCCGAAGCUUCGGAUCCCGGCCAGCCCGCCCACCAGCCAACCGCUGCCGCGUCGCACCACCACUCGCCGUGGCCAUGGCAGGGGCAGAGACUAGCAGCCCGCACCGCCCUUGGCCCGUGCCGCCAGGUCCCAGAUCCGGCCUCGACCCGCGCCGAAGGACCCGGAUCUGGCGACCAAGGCACGCCCACCACCGCCGCGCCGGUCACGCCGCCGCCACGAAGCCGUCGCCAUCAGGCUCCAGCUCGCCGCCGUGCUGCCAUGCCCGCCACCAGCACCGCAUCCCAGGCGGCCGCCGCGACCCGCGCCGGAGGCCCCCACCAAGGAGACAAGGCAGCCCUGCCGCCGCCGGCGCCUACCAGGCUUCGCCCGGCGCGCCCUCUUUGGCGGCGACGAGGGAGAGGAAGGAGGAGGAGGGGAAGCCCGCCGGCGGCGCUAGGGUUUCUCCCGAGACGCGCGCGCGGGGCGCGUCGCGGGAGCGAGAGGGAGGAGGGGAUCGCGUCGGAAUUUCCUUUUUUCGUCGAAGAAUAAAGAAGAACAUGCUAAACAUCUUCGUCUUGUUCUGGAGAAGCUCCGAGAACAUCAACUUUAUGCCAAGUAUUCCAAGUGUGAAUUCUGGUUACCCGAAGUCACCUACCUUGGUCAUGUCAUCUCCAAGGAUGGUAUUGCCGUCAACCCAGAGCGUGUUCAGGCUAUUCUUGACUGGACCCCUCCGAAGACUGUCAAGCAAGUCAGAAGCUUUCUCGGACUAGCCAGGUAUUGUCGCAGCUUUGUCGAUAACUUCUCCAAGAUCGCCAAGCCACUUACCAAUCUGCUACACAAAGGCGUUAAGUUUGAUUGGAUUGAAAAGUGUCAGGAAAGUUUCCAGGCACUCAAGGACAAGCUGACAUCUGCCCCAGUGCUUGCUCCCCCUGAUUCUCGCAAGGACUUCGUCAUCUAUUGCGACGCUUCACGACAAGGACUAGGAUGUGUCCUAAUGCAAGAGCAUAGAGUGAUUGCUUAUGCCUCCCGUCAAGUGCGUCCUCACAAAGAGAACUACCCAGUUCAUGACCUCGAGCUUGCUGCGGUUAUCUUUGCACUGAAGCUAUGGCGACAGUACCUUCUCGGUAACCGUUGCGAGAUCUUCACCGAUCAUCAGAGUCUGAAGUACCUGUUUACUCAGCCAGAUCUGAACUCCAUCAGCAGCGAUGGAUGGAAGCUAUUGCUGACUACAACUGCGGUAUAUCUUAUACCCCUGGUAAGGCUAAUGUAAUGGCCGAUGCCCUGAGCCGUAAGUCUUACUGCAACAAUCACAUGGUCUACAAAUCUCAACCCCGCCUUUAUAAAGAGCUAUGCAAGCUAAACCUUCAACUAGUUCCAUAGGGUUCUGAUGUAGGGUGGAACCCUAUGUGGACGAUCUUUCAUGUUUGGAGUGGAUCCUACGGGAAAUCACGAAGAACACGCGGAAGCACAAAGGGGAACACGGAGGAAACGAGAGGGAAAUCACUCAACCAACAAGGAAUCAAUCACACAAGUGCUAGAUCACCGAACACAAAGAGAUACAUAUGAUCCACAAUCAACAAAGGUAAGGAUACAAAGGAACCGUUCUUCUCCGUGAGGAGGCCUUGAAAUCCACGAGGGGAUCUUCUCACGAGGGGGUCUUGAAUCCGAUAGGAUCUUCUCCGAGGAGGCCGCGGUCUCUCACGAGGAGGAGAUCCGGUGGAUGAGCGAAUAUCUAUCUCUAACUUGAGCUAAAUCAACACUAAAUCUAAUUAGGAGGAGGUGGAGGAGUAUAUAUAGUCUAGGGCCACGAAGGGGUAAGUGAAGGGGUACAUGGGCUGCGGCCCAACACACUGUGCGCAGAUAGGUGUCGGACGUCCGGAGGGUUCCGGUCGUCCGGAGGCUCGGGAAGGUCCGGACGUCCGGUGCUCUUCGGACUUCCGUAGAUUCGGCUCGGGUGCACUUCGGUCGGACGUCCGGAGGGGGCCGGUCGUCCGGAGGCUCGCGGGGUCCCGGACAUCCGAAGUUCUUCGGAUGUCCGCAUAUUCGGUUCGGUGGUCGCUGGCACGGUCGUCCGGAGGGGGCCGGUCGUCCGGAGCCUGGGAGUCGUCGGACGUCCGGUCCUGGUCGGACGUCCGGCCGCUGUAGCUUCGGGCAGCUUCUUCUCUUGGUCCUUGUACUUGGUGUCCUUGCCGUCUUGUCCAUGGUCUUCCUCCUUGUUCCUGGUCAUGCAUAGCACAUAUAUAUGAGGUAGUAACCAUGUCUCACAUGUGGGAAGUGAAGGUUCAGAGAGGAGCGAGUUCACCUUGUGUCCAAUGGCGUAUAGUUGAGGUCUCGUCACAAGUCCUCUUAGGGUUUGGAGAGUAGUCGGAGUGUACAUGGGGAUGAACGUGGGAUGCUCCGCAUCAGGUUCUCUGAAUAACCUUGUCCUGGAACCAACUCUUCUCAAAGCAAUUAAGUCUGCUCAAGCCAAAGAUGCACAUGUUGAUCUGAUGAAAAAGGAUCUUGACUUAGAGAAAUCCAGAGAUUUCUCACUUGGUGAAGAUGGAACCUUAUACUUCAGAGAUCGCAUUGUAGUGCCCCGGUUCAAGCUUAUGACAGAGAAGGUGAUGAAAGAAGUGCAUGACACCCCUCUCUCUAUUCAUCCGGGAAGUACCAAGAUGUAUCUAGACAUUCGUCAGAAGUAUUGGUGGUCUAAGAUGAAGCAAGACAUUGCUCGAUAUAUUGAAGAAUGUGACGUUUGUCGUCGCGUCAAAGCAGAACAUCAGAAACCGGCUGGACUUCUACAACCGCUUCCGAUUCCUGAAUGGAAGUGGGAUAAGAUCCAAAUGGAUUUUGUCACAGGCCUUCCCAAGUCUCAGAAAGGUAAUGAUGCUAUCUUUGUCGUCAUCGACCAAUUCUCGAUGGUUGCUCACUUUCUGCCAGUCAAGGAGACAAUCACUGCUAGUCAAUUAGCAAACUUGUAUAUCUCUUGAAUUGUGUCACUCCAUGGCAUUCCGAAGGAGAUCAGUUCAGACCGCGGCAGUAUAUUCACUUCAAAGUUCUGGGAUAGUUUCCAAGAGGAAAUGGGAACUCAUAUUACCUGGAGCACUGCUUAUCAUCCCCAAUCCCAAGGACAAGUCAAGCGAGUCAAUCAAAUUCUUGAAGAGAUCCUUCGAGCUUGUGUUAUUUCUUUUGGAAAGAAGUGGGAAGAAUCUCUCCCUUAUGCGGAGUUCUCUUAUAACAACAGCUAUCAAGCCAGCUUGAAGAUGUCACACUUCAAAGUGCUAUAUGGACGUAAGUGCCAAACCCCUCUGAAUUCGUCAAAAACUGGGGAAUGAACGCUCAUUAGUCGAGACAUUAUUCAACAAGCUGAAGAGCAGGUUCACAUUGUCCGGGAUAAUCUCAAGGCGGCCCAGUCCCGCCAGAAGAGCAACUAUGACCAGAAAACACUAGGGUUCAACUUAUCAACCUGGUGAACAAGCUUAUUUGCGUGUCACUCCUUUGAGAGGCACUCAUCGGUUCGGAGUCAAGGCAAGCUAGCUCUGCGCUACAUUGGUCCUUUCCGCAUUCUCUCCCAUCAAGGACUGGUGGCUUAUCAAUUGGAGUUGUCACCUCAGUUCUCUCACGUCCAUGACGUCUUCCACGUGUCGCAACUUCGUCGAUGUUUCAAGGAUCCGGAACGUGAAGUGGAUCCGGAAUUGAUUGAAGUUCAAGAUGAUCUCACAUACAAAGAGCAUCCAAUCCGCAUUCUUGAAGAAGCUGAACGUCGAACCCGCCAGAAGGUUACUGAUACGUCUCCAAUGUAUCUACUUUUCCAAACACUUUUGCCCUUGUUUUGGACUCUAACUUGCAUGAUUUGAAUGAAACUAACUCGGACUGACGUUGUUUUCAGCAGAACUGCCAUGAUGUUGUUUUAUGUGUAGAAACGAAAAGUUCUCGGAAUGUCUUGGAAAUCCAUGGAGGCAAUUUUAAGAAUUAAUAAGAAUUUCUAGGCGAAAGAAAUACACCAGGGGGCCCACACCCUGUCCAUGAGAUAGCCCCCCCCUAGGGCGCGUCCUCCUAUCUCGUGGGCCCCCUGGACCUCCAUCGACCUCAACUCCAACUCCCAUAUAUUCACGUUUGGGGAGAAAAAAAUCAGAGAGAAAGUUUCAUCGCGUUUUACGACACAGAGCCACCGCCAAGCCCUAAUCUCUCUCGGGAGGGCUGAUCUGGAGUCCAUUCGGGGCUCCGGAGAGGGGGAUUCAUCGCCGUCGUCAUCAUCAACCAUCCUCCACCAAUUUCAUGAUGCUCACUGCCGUGCGUGAGUAAUUCCAUCGUGGGCUUGCUGGACGGUGAUGGGUUGGAUGAGAUUUACCAUGUAAUCAAGUUAGUUUUGUUAGGGUUUGAUCCCUAGUAUCCACUAUGUUAUGAGAUUGAUGUUGCUAUGACUUUGCUAUGCUUAAUGCUUAUCACUAGGGCCCGAGUGCCAUGAUUUCAAAUCUGAACCUAUUAUGUUUUCAUGAAUAUAUGUGUGUUCUUGAUCCUAUCUUGCAAGUCUAUAGUCACCUAUUAUGUGUUAUGAUCCGACAACCCCGAAGUGACAAUAAUCGGGAUACUUCUCGGUGAUGACCGUAGUUUGAGGAGUUCAUGUAUUCACUAUGUGCUAAUGCUUUGUUCCGGUUCUCUAUUAAAAGGAGGCCUUAAUAUCCCUUAGUUUCCGCUAGGACCCCACUGCCACGGGAGGGUAGGACAAAAGAUGUCAUGCAAGUUCUUUUCCAUAAGCACGUAUGACUAUUUACGGAAUACAUGCCUACAUUACAUUGAUGAACUGGAGCUAGUUCUAUGUCACCCUAUGUUAUAGCUAUUACAUGAGGAAUCGCAUCCGACAUAAUUGUCCAUCACUGAUCCAUUGCCUACGAGCUUUUCAUAUAUUGUUUUUCGCUUAUUUACUUUUCCGUUGCUACUGUUACAACUACUACAAAAACCCAAAAUUAUUAUCUUUACUUUUGCUACCGUUACCUUUAUUAACAUACCACUUUUGCUACUAAAUACUUUGCUAUAGAUACUAAGUUAUCCAGGUGUGGUUGAAUUGACAACUCAACUGCUAAUACUCAAGAAUAUUCUUUGGCUCCCCUUGUGUCGAAUCAAUAAAUUCGGGUUGAAUACUUUACCCUCGAAAGCUGUUGCGAUCCCCUACACUUGUGGGUUAUCAAGACUAAUUUCUGGCGCCCUUGCCGGGGAGCAUAGCUCUAUUCUCCGACUAACUUGGGAUUUAUAUCUGUUGAUCACUAUGAAGAACUUGAAAGACGAUAGAACUAUGAUCUAUCCCUCAACUACGAGGGGAGGUAAGGAACUGCCAUCUAGCUCUGCACUAGAUUCUCCUUCUAUUAUUAGUAAGCUUGCGACACCUAAACCUGCUACUGCUACGAGUUCUGAUAUGUCACAUGUUAUUGAUGAUGCCACUUCUGCUAUGCAUGAUGAAACUACUUCUGUGCAUGAUACUACUUUGCCAUUAGGUGAAUUUCUUGAUGAACAACUUGCUAGAGUUAGGGGGAAUGAAAUUAUUAAAGAUGCUAUUAUUGAUGACAGUGAUGAUGAAGGUUCUGCCAAUGAUUAUGAAUUACCUAUUGUUCCUGAGGGUUAUGUUAUGAAUGAAGAAGCUGCUAGAGCUAUAUUUGCUUGCAAUGAUAGAUAUGAUCUUAAGAAAUUAUUAGCUAAAUGGAAGCAGUAGUCUCUUAAUGCUAGAAUGAAACCUGACCCUGCUUUUGCUACUUCACCUAUUUGUGUCACUGAUAAGGAUUAUGAAUUCUCUGUUGAUCCUGAAAUUAUUACUUUAGUUGAAUCUGAUCCUUUUUAUGGCCUUGAAUCUGAAACUGUUGUGGCACAUCUUACCAAGUUGAAUGAUAUAGCCACCCUAUUUACUAAUGAUGAGAAGUCUCGCUAUUAUUAUAUCCUUAAGAUAUUUCCAUUCUCAUUAAAGGGUGAUGCUAAGACUUGGUAUAAUUCUCUUGCUCCUGGUUGUGUGCGUAGUCCCCAGGAUAUGAUUUAUUACUUCUCUGCUAAAAAUUUCCCUGCUCAUAAGAAACAAGCUGCCUUGCGGGAAAUAUAUAAUUUUGUGCAAACCAAAGGAGGGAGUCUCCCACAAGCUUGGGGGAGGCUUCUCCGAUUACUCAAUGCUUUGCCUGAUCAUCCUCACAAGAAAAAUGAAAUAGUUGAUAUAUCUUUUAUAAUGGGCUAACUGAUGCUUCCAAGGACUACUUGGAUAGUUGUGCUGGUUGUGUUUUCAAGGAAAGAACAGUCGACGAAGCUGAAAUAUUAUUGAAUAAUAUGUUGACUAAUGAAAAUAAUUGGACUCUUCUUGAGCCAAUUCCUGAAGCAAUUGAGCCAAUUCCUGAGCCUAUUCCUAAACCCACUCCGAAGAAGAGAGGUGUUUUAUUUCUCAGUCCUGAAGAUAUGCAAGAGGCAAAGAAAUCAAUGAAAGAAAAAGGUAUUAAAGCUGAAGAUGUUAAGAAUUUACCACCUAUUGAAGAAAUACAUGGUCUUAAUAUACCACCUGUUGAAGAACCACAUUGUCUUGAUAACCUGACACAGGUAGUAAAGGUAAAUUCUCUCUAUAGAUAUGAUAAAGUUAAAAUUCCCUCUACUAAAUUUCGUAGCCCUUGCUUAGAUGAAUUUGAUGACUUUAUGGCUAGACAAGAAAGUUUUAAUGCUUAUAUUGGUAGCGAGUUAAAGAAUAAUGCUUUCGAGAUAGGAUGCGUAGGCGAUAAUAUAGCUAGAGUUAAAGAUGAACUCAAACUCGUUAGCAAAUAUGCUUCUAUGGUUGCUACCCAAGCUGAGCAAGUACUUAAAGCUCAAAAUGAUUUGCUUGAUGUAUUAAAUAAUAAAAAUGACUAUGCUGUUAGAGUGGCUACUAGAACUGGUAGAAUGACUCAGGAACCUUUGUAUCCUAAAGGCCACCCUAGGAGAAUCGAGCAAGAUUCUCAGAGAAACAAUUUAGAGGCACCUAGUUCUUCUAAAAAGAAGAAGAAGAAAAACGAUAAAACUUUGCAUGCUUCUAGUGAACAUAUUGUAGACACACCUGAGAAUCCCAAUGAUAUUUCUAUUUCUGAUGCUAAAACACAAUCAGGUGAUGAACAUGAACCUAGUGAUAAUGUCAAUGAUAAUGUUCAUGUUGAUGCUCAACCUAGCAAAAACAAUGAAGUAGAAAUUGAACCUGCUGUUGAUCUUGAUAACCCACAAUCAAAGAAUCAACGUUAUGAUGAGAGAGAUUUUGUUGCUAGGAAGCACGGUACAGAAAGAGAACCAUGGGUUCAGAAACCCAUGCCCUUUCCUCCUAAACCAUCCAAGUCAAAGGAUGAUGAGGAUUUUGAGCGCUUUGCUGAAAUGGUUAGACCUAUUUUCUUACGUAUGCACUUAACUGAUAUACUCAAAGUAAAUCCUUAUGCUAAGUAUAUGAAGGAUAUCAUUACAAAUAAAAGAAAGAUACCGGAAGCUGAAAUUUCCACCAUGCUUGCUAAUUACACUUUUAAGGGUGGAAUACCAAAGAAACUUGGAGAUCCGGGUGUGCCAACUAUACCAUGCUCCAUUAAAAUAAAUUAUGUUAGAACUGCUUUAUGUGAUCUUGGAGCCCAUGUUAGUGUUAUGCCUCUCUCGUUAUAUCGUAGACUUUAAUUGAAUAAGUUGACACCUACUGAAAUAUCUUUGCAAAUGGCUGAUAAAUCAACUACUAUACAUGUCGGCAUUUGUGAGGAUGUGCCUAUUGUGGUUGCAAAUGUCACUAUCUUAACGGACUUUGUUAUUCUUGAUAUUCCCGAUGAUGAUAGUAUGUCUAUUAUCCUUGGUAGACCUUUUCUUAAUACUGCAGGGGCUGUUAUUGAUUGCAACAAAGGCAAUGUCACUUUUCAUGUUAAUGGUAAUGAGCAUACGGUACACUUUCCGAGGAAACAGUCUCAAGUUCAUAGCAUCAAUUCUAUUGGAAAGGUUCCAACUAUUAUUAUUGGAGGUUUUGAAUUUCCUCUCCCUACUGUCAAGAAAAAGUAUGAUAUUCUUAUUGUUGGGGACUUUCAUAUCCCCAUUGAGGUAACUUAGUGUUAUUCGAAAUUUCUCCGGUUCCGUGUUAUUCGGAAUGAGUUUGUUAACAAGACUUGAUCAACCUUGUUAGUGGAUUCAUUUUAAUGAUCACGAGAUGGAUGGAACUAGAAGGCACAACCUUCUGCACCCUCUUUUUACUUUCUGUUAUUUAGAAUAAAUAAACCAAAAAUAGUAUUAUCUGUCUGUUUUUUGAAUUAUCCGUGCAUUAAAAAAUAGUCCGAAAAUAAAAGUGCUCCAAAUGCCCUGCAAAUUUAGUAUGAUUUUUUCUGGAAUAUUUGAGGAUUUUAGGCACUGAAAUCACUGCAGGAGGGGCAAGCACCAGGCCACGAGAGUGGAGGGUGCCCCCCCUAUAGGGCGCGCCCCUGUCUCGUGGGCCCCUUGUGGCCCCCUCCACUUAUGCCAGCACCCACACACUUCGUUUUCUACCCAAAAAAAAUCCCCAUCCAGCUCAAGCACGAGUUCUAGCUCAUUUUGCUGCGAUUUUCGAUCUCCUGCUCAAAGCUCCAUUUACAAAACUGCUUUGGGAGAUUGUUGCUUGGUAUGUGACUCCUCCAUUGGUCCAAUUAGUUUUUGUUCUAGUGCUUUAUUCAUUGCAAAUUUUUGCUGCAUAGGUGACCAUGUUCUUGAGCUUGCAUGUUAAAUUUAUGAGGUCCCAAGCAAUUCCAAUGCAUGAUAUAGGCUCUAGGCACUUGUAGGAUUAGUUGCUACCAAUCUUGUUAAGUUUUAUUCACUUUUAUUUUGAAGUUACUAAAAUUUCAGAAAUGUUUCAGAAAAAGAAUUAUGUCUAGGAGAAUGUACCAAGGUGGUCCCUCGGUGAAGAAAGGGCCCAGGAUUGCUAUACGUGAGCAAGAUGUCGAAUUGCCGAGGGACGUGGAUGCAUGAGCUUGUGAGUGGCCAUCCGAUGAUUUUAUGGUCGAAGUAGGCUUCAAGGAGGAAUUUGACGUGUAUGUGCAUAAUGCCGAGCUGGAGGACUUCUUACAAGAUAAGUGUCCGCAGUACUAUCAGUUGACUGAUUCUUUUGUGCGGAGGUUUAAAUAUAACUGUGCGCGUAAUUCUCCUAGUGUCAUAUUUGAUAUUUAUGAUACAUCUUAUACCAUGGAUUUAGAGGAUUUUACAACUGCUUGCAGACUCCGGUAGUGGGGUAAUAUUAAUGAUCCUCACAAAUCUGAAUUUAGAGAUUUUCUUGCUGGUAUCACUGUGGGAGAAUCUAGGGACAUAGCACAAGCCACCAUAGGGAGCAUUCAUUUUCCUGCUAUGCAUUAUUUUGCUCUCUUUAUUGGUAGAUGCAUUAAUGGUAAGGAUGAAGCAUGUCACAUGUGUGUCCCUGAUCUGUGUGUCCUCAAGAGUGCUGUGUUAGGUUAUAAAUGUUAUAACUUGGGGGCAAUAGUUGCACGUAGGUUGCAGAAUAAUAGUAGAAAGGGAAAUUUAUUUGGAGGAAUUUAUGCAACCCGUGUGGCUAAUUAUCUUAAUAUAGCCCCACGAGAGGGGGAUAUGAUUUUACCUCCUGUUUAUUUGGAUAAAGAAGCUAUGUUCAAUCAUCAAUUUCUUGCGAGGAAUGAACAAUUCCUCCAAUAUUGACUAACCUAUGACAGACGCAUCGUCGUCCCUGUUACUCUUCCUGCUCCCUACCUUUUUGAUUAUCAGGCAAAAGGAAGAUAUGUUGUCACCAGGGAGGAAGCAGCUGAACACGAGAGGAGAGCGGAGGCAACUCGCCAACACGCCGUAGCUCAGGAGGCGGUUGCCGCUGCAUCUCAGUACGACCCCGGUUUCACUUAUGGAUAUCAGCCAGGCGGUCCUUGGUACUAGACCAACUUAGGCCAAAAGCCUAAGCUUGGGGGAGUACGUAUUUCUCACCGACUUUACAUUCAUGUUCACGGUGCUCAUACUCUUUCAUUGCAUUAUCCAUGCUAGUUUAAUUUUCUUUUUUCUAGUUUUCUUCUUGUGUGUUUGAUAAACUUUAAGAAAAACAAAAAAAAUUAGUUAGUUUAAUUUUUAUGCUUGUAGUAGAAUUAAAAUGAAAACCCAAAAAGAUUUCUUAUUCUUCUUCUUACUUGUUGGGAGCUUUCCCGUGUAAAUAGUUUUAUUUUAUUUUCUUUCUUUUGGGGGUCGAGAAGACCAUAUUGAAAAUGUUUAGUGGCUCUCAUAUGCAUGAUUGUUUAUUUAACUUAGAGCCCAUAUUACCCUGUCUUCUCUCUUGAGUUGAAUGCUUGCAGAUUCCAGCUUAGUCCAAUGCACGUGCACUCUUAUUAUUAUUAUACACAUCGUUCGGUUGUGCAAGUGAAAGGCAAUAAUGACGAUAUAUGAUGGACUUACUGGGAUGAGAAAAGCUGGUAUGAACUCGACCUCUCUUGUUUUUGUAAAUAUGACGAGUUCAUCGUUUCUGAGUCAGCUUAUUAUGAAGUAAACAUAUUUGCAAUGACAUUUAGAGAUUAUAGUUGCUUGUGCCAUGCUUGAUUAGCUAUGAGUUAUAAUGGUUUACCUUGCGUGCCAACAUAUUAUUAGAAUGAUUAUGAUGUGAUAUGAUGGGAUGGUAUCCUCCUUUGAAUGAAUUGAGUGACUCGACUUGGCACAUGUUCACGCAUGUAGUUGAACCAAAUCAACACAGCCUUCAUGAUAUUUAUGUUCAUGGUGGAUUAUAUCCUACUCAUGCUUGUCCUCGGUGUGAAUUAAUUUUAAUGCAUGUUUACGACUGUUGUCGCUCUCUCAGUUGGUGGCUUACCAGUCUUUUGCUAGCCUUCACCCGUACUAAGCGGGAAUACUGCUUGUGCAUCCAAACUCCUUAAACCCCAAAGUUGUUCCAUAUGAGUCCACUAUACCUUCCUAUAUGCGGUAUUUACCUGCCGUUCCAGUAAAUUUGUAUGUGCCAAACUCCAAACCUUCAAAUGAAAUUCUGUUUUGUAUGCUCGAGCAGCUCAUGUUAUAACUAGGGCUGCCUAUAUCUUCCAUGCUAGGUGGGUUAUUCUCAAGAGGAGUGGACUCCGCUCCUCAUUCACGAGAAAGGGUUGGUAACCGGGAUGCCUAGUCCCAUGAUUCAAAAAAAGAUCAAAGGAAAUCAAAAUAAUUAAAAAAACUCCCCCAGGGCAGUUGUUAGUUGGAGGCACUCGUUGUUUCGAGCAAGCCAUGGAUUGAUGUUUGCUGGUGGUUGGGGGAGUAUAAACCUUUACCAUUCUGUUUGGGAACUGCCUAUAAUGCAUGUAGUAUGGAAGAUGCAGCCAUCUCAUAGUUGUUGCGUCGACAGUGAAAGUAUGCCGCUCAAAAUGUUAUUCAAUCUCUAUUUUAAAAUCAAGCUCUGGCACCUCUACAAAUCCCUGCUUGCCUUUGUGAAGGGCCUAUCUAUUUACUUUUAUGUUGAGUCAUCACCCUUCUUAUUAAAAAGCACCCGCUGGAGAGCACACUGUCAUUUGCAUUCAUUAUUAUUGGUUUAUAUUGGGUAUGACUUGACUGGAUCUCUUCCAUGAAUUACAAUGUUUAAUCACUCCUUGAUCUUUAAAGGUGCUCUGCAUUUAUGUUUUGCAGUCUCAGAAAGGGCUAGCGAGAUACCAUUUUGUUAUAUCAUGUUAUGAUUAUUUUGAGAAAGUGUUGUCAUCCGAGUUUUAUUAUUAUCGCUCGCUAGCUGAUUAUGCUAUUGAUAUGAGUAAUUGUGAGACCUAAGUGUUAUUGUGAGUAUGGUUAGUUCAUAAUAUUUGCUGAAACUUGAAUGCUGGCUUUUCAUGUUUACAACAACAAGAGAAAACAGAGUUUGUAAAAGUUUUUCUUUAUCACUUUCAAUUUAUCAACUGAAUUGCUUGAGGACAAGCAAAGGUUUAAGCUUGGGGGAGUUGAUACGUCUCCAACGUAUAUACUUUUCCAAACACUUUUGCCCUUGUUUUGGACUCUAACAUGCAUGAUUUGAAUGAAACUAACCCAGACUGACGCUGUUUUCAGCAGAACUGCCAUGAUGUUGUUUUAUGUGUAGAAAAGGAAAGUUCUCGGAAUGUCCUGGAAAUCCACGGAGGCACUUUUUGGAAUUAAUAAGAAUUUCUGGGCGAAAGAAAUACACCAGGGGGCCCACACCCUGUCCACGAGACAGGGGGCGCCCCCCCUAGGGCGCACCCUCCUAUCUCGUGGCCCCCCUGGACCUCCACCGACCUCAACUCCAACUCCAUAUAUUCACAUUCGGGGAGAAAAAAUCAGAGACAAAGUUUCAUCGCGUUUUACGACAUGGAGCUGCCGCCAAGCCCUAAUCUCUCUCGGGAGGGCUGAUUUGGAGUCCGUUCGGGGCUUCGAAGAGGGGGAUUCGUCGUCAUCGUCAUCAUCAACCAUCCUCCAUCACCAAUUUCAUGAUGCUCACCGCCGUGCGUGAGUAAUUCCAUCGUAGGCUUGCUGGACGGUGAUGGGUUGGAUGAGAUUUACCAUGUAAUCAAGUUAGUUUUGUUAGGGUUUGAUCCCUAGUAUCCACUAUGUUCUGAGAUUGAUGUUGCUAUGACUUUGCUAUGCUUAAUGCUUGUCACUAGGGCCCGAGUGCCAUGAUUUCAGAUCUGAACCUAUUAUGUUUUCAUGAAUAUAUGUGUGUUCUUGAUCCUAUCUUGCAAGUCUAUAGUCACCUAUUAUGUGUUAUGAUCCGACAACCCCAAAGUGACAAUAAUCGGGAUACUUCUCGGUGAUGACCGUAGUUUGAGGAGUUCAUGUAUUCACUAUGUGCUAAUGCUUUGUUCCGGUUCUCUAUUAAAAGGAGGCCUUAAUAUCCCUUAGUUUCCGCUAGGACCCCGCUGCCACGGGAGGGUAGGACAAAAGAUGUCAUGCAAGUUCUUUUCCAUAAGCACGUAUGACUAUUUACGGAAUACAUGCCUACAUUACAUUGAUGAAUUGGAGCUAGUUCUAUGUCACCCUAUGUUAUAGCUAUUACAUGAGGAAUCACAUCCGGCAUAAUUAUCCAUCACUGAUCCAUUGCCUACGAGCUUUUCAUAUAUUGUUCUUCGCUUAUUUACUUUUCCGUUGCUACUGUUACAACUACUACAAAACCCCCAAACUAUUGUCUUUACUUUUGCUACCGUUACCUUUAUUAUCAUACCACUUUUGCUACUAAAUACUUUGCUGCAGAUACUAAGUUAUCCAGGUGUGGUUGAAUUGACAACUCAACUGCUAAUACUCAAGAAUAUUCUUUGGCUCCCCUUGUGUCGAAUCAAUAAAUUUGGGUUGAAUACUUUACCCUCAAAAGCUGUUGCAAUCCCCUACACUUGUGGGUUAUUAGUUACCAAGUUUCUCAAGGUGCAAUGGUCGAAUCAUACUAAAGAGGAAGUGAAAGCACAAGUGCUCCCUGGGUGAUUUUGGUAAUUAAUGUCAACAUAUCUCCUGUUGGACUAACACUUUUACCUAGUAUGUUUCAGACAAGUUCAACAAUGGAGUGGCAUGGACUAAAGGAUGUGGAACCCCUUCAAGAUGCUAAGGACAAAGGAUUGGCUCAAGCUCCAAGAUCAAGACUCUACAUUUUCUAUUUUAGUGAUCCAAGAUCACAUUGAGUCUAUAGGAAAAGCCAAUACUAUCAAGAGGGGAUGAGGUGUUGCUUAAUGGCUUGCUUGCUCAAAGUGCUUAGUGAUAUGCUCCAAAGCCCUCAACUACUUUCUCACAUCCACAUAUGUCCUAAACCAAAAGUCUAACUCGGCCCUACCGAUUCUUUCCAUCCGGCACCACCGAGUUCAGAUGUCUUAGCCACUGCCACAAACCCUAGGCAAAUCGGUCUCACCGAUAGGGAUCUCGGUCUCACCGAGAUGGGAUUGUAAUCUCUCUGUUUCCCUUUGUAACGUUUCGGUACCACCGAGAUGAGCGAUCGGUCCCACUGAGAUUGCAAUGUAAAUUCUCUGUUUCCUUUUCGUAACAUUUCAGUCUCACCGAAAUGAGCAAACCGGUCCCACCGAGUUUACCUGACCAACUCUCUGGUUAGCUUAUUACCAAAAUUGGUCCCACCGAGUUUGUGUAAUCGGUCUCACCGAGAUUACGUUAUGCCCUAACCCUAAUCAUAUCGGUCCUACCGAGUUGCAUGUCGGUCCCACCGAAAAUCCUAAUGGUCACUAGAUUUGCUGAAUCGGUCCGACCGAGUUUCUCAAUUCGGUCCCACCGAGUUUGGUAAGUUGUGUGUAACGGUUAGAUUUUGUGUGGAGGCUAUAUAUACCCCUCCACCUCCUCUUCAUUCGUGGAGAGAGCCAUCAGAAUGAACCUACACUUCUAGCAUACAUUUUCUGAGAGAGAACCACCUACUCAUGUGUUGAGACCAAGAUAUUCCAUUCCUACCAUAUGAAUCUUGAUCUCUACCCUUCCCUAAGUUGCUUUCCACUCAAAUCUUCUUUCCAUCAAAUCCAAAUCCUGUGAGAGAGAUUUGAGUGUUGGGGAGACUAUCAUUUGAAGCACAAGAGCAAGGAGUUCAUCAUCAACACACCAUUUGUUACUUCUUGGAGAGUGGUGUCUCCUAGAUUGGCUAGGUGUCACUUGGGAGCCCCCGACAAGAUUGUGGAGUUGAACCAAGGAGCUUGUAAGGGCAAGGAGAUUGCCUACUUCAUGAAGAUCUACCGCUAGUGAGGCAAACCCUUCAUGGGCGACGACCAUGGUGGAAUAGACAAGGUUGCUUCUUCGUGGACCCUUUGUGGGUGGAGCCCUCCGUGGACUCGCGCAACCGUUACCCUUCGUGGGUUGAAGUCUCCAUCAACGUGGAUGUACGAUAGCACCACCUAUCGGAACCACGACAAAAACAUCCGUGUCUCCAAUUGCGUUUGAAUCCUCCAAUCCCUUCCCUUUACAUACUUGCAAGUUGCAUGCUUUACUUUCCGCUGCUCAUAUACUCUUUGCAUGCUUGCUUGUUAUGUAUUGUGAUUCUUAAACUUGUGCCAAAACUCCACUUAAACUUAAAGAAGUUAAAAACUGCAACUUUUGGUACUUAGUGUCUAAUCACCCCCCUCUAGACACCUCUUCUCGAUCCUUUCAGGAAGCCACUUGGGAACGCGAAGAUAACCUCCGGGCUGAAUACCCCGACCUGUUCCCUUCUACCUCUUAAUUCUCGGGACGAGAAUUUCUUUUAGAGGAGGAGAGUUCUAACACCCUGGUGUAAUGAUGCUACAGUAAUCCCUGAGAUCAAGCUAAUCAUUUUUCUAUAACAGUGCUUGGUCACUUUGAUCAAUAUUCCAUUUCAAAUUCUAGUUGAAUUCAAUAUGAAUUUAUGUGUGAAAUUCAAAAAUGCCCAGACAUGAAAACUAAAAUGUUCAUCAUGUGGAACAUAUUCUUCUGGUAAUAUUGGUGGUGAACCAACAUUUUUGCAAAAUGUUUAAGUUGCCUAAAAUAGCUAAAACAGAAAAGCUUUAAAGAAAGGAAAAGCAAGGAGAAAAAGAAGAAGGAAAAGGCCCCCCUCAACUGGGCCGAAUGGCCCUGCUGGCCACCGCGCCCCCCUUGGGCUUCGGCCCACCCCAGCAGGCCGGCCCACCUACCUCCCCGGUCGCUCUCCCCUCGCCCUGUUCAACCAACAGAGGGCGCACGCCCGCGCGUUGCCGCCGGACCACCUCGCCGUUGAUGAGGGGGAUGAGGAUCCCCUCGACGCCUCGAGUCCUCGCCCUCACCUACCGCCACUCCCACUUCCCCUCGCCCACUCCGCCUGCUACUCCUCUCCUCUCUCCCUUCAGAUCCAUCUCCACCGAGCUCUGUCGCCUUCGAGCACCGCGCUCCACCGCGGCCAUCGGCGCCCAAUCCUCCCUCCGAGGUGUCUAGGAGGUCCGCGGUGGACUGCUUCUUCCUCCUCAUCACCGGGUUGAGCCCGAGGAGCGCCACCGUUGUUGCUCACGUCUUCUUCCCCAACUGCAGCCACCGCUACGCCGCCAUUCGAUCCACCCCGAGUCUGCAGCUACUAAACCCCCACGGGCCAUCGUGUGAGCCACUCGGUGAGCCUCUCUUCCUCCCUCAUCUCUUUGGUCAUCCUUGCACGCACGCUAGCUGCUUCUCCCACAGCGUCCGAAUGCGCUGCGGCCUGCGCACGUCGCCGGAUUGACUCCGGUGACCCUUUGGUUGCAGGCUGGAGUCCAACGUGCUCGUUGCAUUGCGUAGCACCUCCCGCGCCCGUUAGUUCACGCUUUAGCACGCUGCUGCUCCAUUGCAUCGAACGCCCGAACCCCACCAUCGCCUCCACUUGUCGCCGAUGCAGUUCCGGCCAGCCGCGAGCCCAACCGACCUCACCACACGACACGAUGGGCUCUCCCCGUUCGAACACGCCCUCCUGCGCCCAAUUUGGCCGCCGGGCGGUGAAUCCCGACGCACGGCCGCGCCCUCCACCGCGGAUUUGGUCGCCGGAGCUAGCUCCUGCACCACCGCUGACCUGGCCGGCCGGGGCCACCCCCUCGGUCGCUGACCUUUGGGCCCUUGGGGCCCGGGUGUCUUGUUGACUUCGGUCAACUGCUGACUGGGCAGGCCCCAGCCACUGACAUGCAGGCCCUACUACUUAUUUCCUCUAACUAAAAUGUUUUAAUAAUUAAAACUAAUUAGUUUAGCUAAUUAGUCUAUGACAGGUGGGGUCCAGUAGCUAACUAACCUAGAUUAGUUAGUUUAAUACACUGUUAGACUAACAAAGGCUGACAUGUGAGUCCCACAGGACCCACAUGCCUGGUUUGACCUGGUCAGCUGCCCUGUUGACUGCUGAUGUCACUGUGACGUCAUGCUGACGCAAUAAACCCUUCUGUUAAUUUAUUUAAUUCUAGAAAAUGUUUAAAACUUUGAAAAUUCAUAGAAAAUAAACCGUAGCUCGGUUGGAAAAACUUUAUACAUGAAAGUUGCUCAGAACGACAAGUCAAACCCGAAUACGCUAACCACAUACCUGUCAGAUGCUUCUAACUACCCGAACAUGGAACAUUCCCCUCUGGUCAUCUGUCUGACACAGGUCCGAAACCGGGAAUACAUUCCCUGUUGAAUUCCCCCUUCACCUAUAUCGUGUAGCCAUGUGUUAGGUCACUCCCGGCACAACAUAUUGCCACGUUAUGCUUUGUGAUGCUAUGUUUGCUUUAUAUUUACUAUUUCUUCCCCCUCUUCUCUCCGGUAGACCCCGAGACUGAUGCUGCCCCUGUGAUCGACUACGUCGAUGAUGACCCCUCCUUGCCAGAGCAACCAGGCAAGCCCCCCCUUUGAUCAUCCCGAUAUCGCCCAUUCCAGUCUCUCAUGCUUGCAUUAGAUUUUGCUACUGUUAUUGUUUGCUCCUAUUCUGAUGCAUAGCCUGCUUUUGUAACCUGCUCAUUGUUACCUACCUCCUUAUCCUAAACUGCUUAGUAUAGGUUGGUUAGUGAUCCAUCAGUGACCCCCACCUUGUCCUUGUUGCCCCUGCUUAAUCAUUGAAGACCCGAUCAACGGGAUCGAAGACCAGGCCCCGGCACCGCACAUCACUUUGAACUUAGUUGCUCGACACUACUGGGUUACUAUCGAGUGCCGAGGGUGAGACCCCUACAGCACUUCUAACAUUAACCCUGUAGUGAAGCUAUUCGGUCGUGGUCAUCGGGGGUGAUUCCGCCUUAACCACUUCCGAUACGACUCUGUCGUGCAACCCCUCAAGUGUGAACCUCAUGAGUGGUUCCUCUUACGUUCACCUUGAUGAUUACAUCGAGUGGAAUUCACCAGGGGUGAUUCCUCGGUUUCCCCUUGAUGUUUGGACACACAGAUACUUGGACUUUACAGCUAUUACUUGGAAAGGCGGGUCGACCCUGAGGGGUACCUGCGAGUGAUGUGGAGACGGGUUGACCUAGAAGGUGCCCGCGAGAUACUUACGAGGCGUGGCCGGGCAUUCCUAGCCCUUGCCGCAAGUCCUCGAGAUGGGGCAACGGGGUCACAUAUUUCGUGAGUCUCUGCUUGUUACCACGCGUUCCUAAUCCACUAUGAUUUGGAUAUUUGAUCCAACGGGCCUCUGGCCUGAUAGCACUAACCAUCACGUGGGCAUAGUAUGGGCGUUCUGCGUCAUAUACAUCAGCCGAAGCUUAAUAGACGUCAGCGACUGAGUGGCGCGCACCGGGUUGGACUGCUUAAGCACCUGCCUUUUUGAAGGAGGUAGCUAGGUCUGCUCACCGACCGCCCACACAACAUGCAGGAGUUCCCGGGGAGAUGGCUCAUGACCCUUGGGGGCAUAGGUUUAGUCCGGCGUGCUUGACCUCUCUAUUAAGCCUAGAUCGGGUUGCAGCGUAUUGUUUGGCCGACGCCAGGCAUGAUCUAGGAAAGUGUGUCCGGCCGGAGUUAAUUGAGUGUGGUGGGUAAGUUGGUGCACCCCUGCAGGGAAGAAAACAUCUAUCGAUAGCCUGUCCUACGGUAACGGACACUUGGAGUUGUAUCCCGAUCGAUACAACUAGAACUGGAUACUUGUGAUGAGAAUUGGAUUGUGAUGAGGUGAUAACUGGAUAGUAUGGCUCUAGGAUUGCUUUCUCGCAGGGAGUCGAGAAAGGAUCUCUGGCCGAGGUUGAUAACACUACUACUACUUUACUUUAUGCUACUCUACUCCCUCCUGUUUGCUGCAAGAUGGUGGUUUCCAGAAGAUGCUAGUCUUCGAUAGGACUACGCCUUCUCUCUAUUCUGGCAUUUCUGCAGCCCAGUCCACAUAUAAAACCCCUCUUUGAUAAUGUUGCAUAUGUAGUGUAGAUCCUUGCUUGCGAGUACUUUGGAUGAGUACUCACGGUUGCUUUGCUCCCCCUUUUCCCCCUUUCUUCUGCUUUCCGGUUGAUGGAACCAGAUGUCGGAGCCCAAGAUCCAGACGCCACCUUUGACGAUGACUGCUACUACCACGAGGGUGCCUACUACUGCAUGAAGACCGUCGACGACUAGGAGUAGUUAGGAGGCUCCCAGGCAGGAGGCCUUGCCUUUUCGAUCAUAGAUGCUUUUGUGCUAGCCUUCUUAAGGCAAACUUUUCUAACCUAUGUCUAUACUCAGAUAUUGUGGCUUCCGCUGACUCUUGUGUAUUCGAGCUUAUGUAUUCAAGCCCUCGAGGCCCCUGGCUUGUAAUAUAAAGCUUGUAUUAUUUUAAUUUGUGUCUAGAGUUGUGUUGUGAUAUCUUCCCAUGAGUCCUUGAUCUUGAUCGUACACAUUUGCGUGUAUGAUUAGUGUAUGAUUGAAUCGAGGGCAUCACUGGUUGGCACCCACCUCAGUUAGAGAGAUCAGAAGUUUUCUUGGACUCGCAGGUUAUUAUCAUAGAUUUAUUGAGAUUUUUUCCAAGAUCGCGAAGCCCAUGAUGGAGUUAUUGAAGAAACACACCAAGUUUAAAUGGAUCGAGGAUUGUGAGGCCAGUUUUCAGGAGUUGAAGAAAUGUCUGGUUACAGCCCCAGUGCUGAUUCUCCCGAACAUAUGCAAGGAUUUCCAAGUAUAUUGCGACGCUUCACAUCAGGGACUUGGAGGUGUUAUUAUGCAAGAAGGAAGAGUUGUUUCAUAUGCCUCACGACAGCUUCAACCCCAUGAGUUGAAUUAUGCCGUGCAUGAUUUGGAGUUAGCAGCUGUAGUGCAUGCGCUCAAGACUUGGAGGAAUUUUCUUAUCGGAAAUCGUUGUGAUGUUUACAUGGAUCAUAAGAGUUUGAAGUACACCUUCACGCAAAAGGAGUUGAACCUCAGGCAGAGGAGAUGGUUGGAGCUCAUAAAGGAUUAUGACAUGAGACUACAUUAUCAUCUAGGAAAGGCCAAUGUCGUAGCAGAUGCGUUGAGCUGCAAGAGUUAUGUUAACACGCUCAUAACCGGAGGAUUACCUCAGGAGUUAGCCGAUGAUCUCCGAGAACUUCGCUUGGAGAUAGUUCCGAGAGGUUAUGUUGCGGCACUAGAAAUUCAGUCCACUUUGCUGGGAAAGAUCCGAGAAGCCCAGAAGACGGACAAGGAGAUUGCAGAAAUAAAAGAAAGGAUGAGUAAAGGAAAGGCUAAAGGUUUUCAUGAGGAUGAGCAUGAAACUUUAUGAUUUGAGGAUCGUAUCUAUGUGCCUAAUGACCCUGAGAUCAAGAAGUUAAUUCUUCAGGAGGCUCAUGAUUCGCCUUAUUCAAUUCACCCAGGCAACACCAAGAUGUAUCUGGAUUUGAAGGAGAGUUUAUGGUGGACAGGAAUGAAGAAGGAUAUUGCAGAGUAUGUAGCAGUAUGUGAUGUAUGUCAGAGAGUUAAGGCCGAGCAUCAUAAACGAGCAGGGUUACUUCAGCCUUUGCUGAUACCCGAAUGGAAGUGGGAUAAACUUGGCAUGGAUUUCAUCAUCGUAUUACCCAGAACUCGUUCAAGCUAUGAUUCUAUCUGGGUUGUAGUUGAUCGCUUGACCAAGGUAGCCCAUUUCAUCCCCGUGAAAACAAGUUAUAUGAGUGCUAAGUUGGCGAAGAUAUACAUGACCAGGAUCGUAUGUCUACAUGGAGUUCCGAGGACCAUCGUAUUGGAUAGAGGAACACAAUUUACUUCAAAGUUUUGGAAUCAAUUGCAUGAAACUUUGGGUACCAGGCUAGAGUUCAAUACAACCUUUCAUCCACAGACAGAUGGACAGACCGAGAGAGUCAAUCAGAUUCUGGAGGACAUGUUGAGAGCUUGUGCGCUAGAUUAUGGAUCUAGUUGGGAUGAUAAUUUACCCUAUGGAGAGUUCUCCUAUAACAAUAGUUAUCAAGCCAGUUUGAAGAUGGCCCCUUUCGAAGCUUUGUACGAAAGGAGGUGCAUGACACCAUUGUCGUGGGAUGAAGUUGGAGAUCGACAAUUGUUCGGACCAGAUUUAAUCAGAGAUUCUGAGGAGAAGGUCAAGUUGAUUCGAGAUAGACUCAAGAUAGCUCAGUCCAGGCAGAAGAGCUAUGCCGAUACUAAACGCAAUGAGGUAGCCUAUGAAGUCGAAGACAUAGCAUAUCUUCGUAUAUCACCACUACGUGGAGUUAAGCGAUUUGGAGUCAAAAGGAAGCUAGCACCAUGAUUUGUGGGACCAUACUGAGUCUUGGAACGUAUGGGAGAAAUUGCCUACAAGUUGGCAUUACCCGAAGGCUUGUCAGGAGUUCAUGAUGUGUUUCAUGUUUCCCAGUUGAAGAAGUGCCAUGCAGAGAUGGCUGAUAUUCCUCUGAGAGAUUCAGUGCCACUGGAAGCGAUUUAGUUGGAUAGUGAUCUGACCUAUGGGGAGAAACCCGUUAAGAUUCUCAAGUUUUCCAACCCAGUUACUCGCAGCAGAGUCACCAAGUUUUGCAAAGUUCAGUGGAGCCACCAUACUGAGGAGGAAGCUACCUGGGAGCGCGAAGAAGACCUCCGCAAGGACCACGCACACCUUUUUGCUGACCAACCUGAAUCUCGAGGGCGAGAUUCAUCUUAAGGGGGGUAGGUCUGUAACAUCCCAAUUUUCAGUUUGGAUGUUAUUCAUAGAUCAUUCAUAUGCACCCAUGAUUUAUGCAUUUUUGUUGCUUUGUUUUAGUUGCUUUUUGAUCCAAGAGACCUUCAACAACUCAAGGACCAAUUUGAGCGAGUUGGAGGUUUCACAAAUAUCUCAUUUUGAUUUAUCAAAUUUGAUAAUUGGAUCAAAUUGUUUUUCAAAAUUCUUUUCCAAUUAUUUUAAAUUAAAGAGAGAGGAUAAAAGGACUUCUUCAAAAUCAACAAAGAAAUACUGGAAAUUGAAUUUUCAAUUUUUGGAGAGUUUAUUUAUUUUUAUUCGCUAGUUUAUUUAUUUCUUAGCGGACUAAAUAGUACUAUAAUGUUUGUUUUUAGUUUAGGCAUUUAGACCGAGAAAAAUGUUCACUAGGUCACUAAUAAGGCCAUAUUACUAUGUGAAUUUUUCGGGUAUUUUUAGGAUUUUAUUUAUAUUUAUUUUAGCGUGUUUUGUCUCUUUGAAAAAAAUUGUUUAAAAAAAUGUUUGUGGCCAAACUGGGCCGGUUAAGCUAGCGCCAGGCCGCAGCCCAGACGCCUUCGCCCGCCCGACCGCCUGAGGGACGUAGUCCCGAGCGCCCCCGCCGCCCUCCGGAGUCCGACCCAGUUUCCACCUCGCUGCCGCCUCCCUUGCCCCCUCCUCCAAGCCGCCCGCACCCCGACCCCCUUUAAAUACCGAGGCCCCCGGCUCCUUGCUUCCCCACCUCGACCACUGCCGCCGCAGCCGCACACCACCGCCCUCGCAGCCGCACAUCGCCGCCGCUGCCGCAAGCGCCGCCGCCGCCGUUCGCUGCUGCCGCUGCCGUAGCCGAUGCCGUCCCCACCGUUAGCCGCUGUUGCCGGAGCCUCGCCGCCACCUACCGCCCGUAGCCGCUGCCACCAUGGUCGAAUUCUCCGUCGCCGCCAACUACCGCUGCCGGUAGACCUCCCUGUUCUGAUCUCGACCGUCGGAUCUAAAUCCGACGGCUUAGAUCUUCUGUAUGUUUUUUCUGAACCUUCUAAAUAACGAGCAUUUGCUUGUUAGCUUCUGCUAGUGAACGGUUCAUUCUGUAGGGUUUUGUAGCGCACGUUCGUUCGGUAGAUUUUUCUUUUUAUUUUAGUUUUCUGCGAGGGACCUAUCCGUAGUUUUUUUUAGAGAUUAGUCCAUACGCUUCAAACUAGCACAACUUUUUGCUCGUUUGUCCAAAUUCGACGAAACCAACGCCAAAAUCUUCAGAGCAAUCUCAUCUAUCUAGUAAACAAACUUCAACAUGUUUUUGACAAUUUAAAAUUUGAAUUUAGUUCAGAUUUGAAUUUGAUCUUGUUUUGUUCGUAUCUUGAGUUUCAUAGCUAUGUUUGAGUUAAUUCUUUUUGCAAAUCUUAGCUAAUCACAUGUAUCUUCUGUUAAGAUCCAAUCCAUAUAAUUAUAAUGCUGUUAAAAAUUGUUUUAUGUUUAGGUUAGUUAUUUGCUUGUUUUUGAGUUCUUUGGAUCUUUUCUUCGUUUUCUCUUUGCAUCGGUUGCUUGAGUGCUUAUGUAUGCUAUUGUUUGUCUACGCUAGAUUUUCCGAAGUGCGAAGCUUGUUACUACGAAUAUCUAGAGUUUUCCUAUCGUCAGCAUGGCAAGUUACACUUUGAUCAUACUUUUCAAUACCUAGUUUUUACUAUGCAUUAGUUUUGCCCCUCAAAGAUUUGCAUGAGUAGGAUUGGGAACAUGUGGUUCGGUUGUAGUUCUUGAGGUAGGAACCUAUUACCUUUGAUCACCCCGGGAAUAUAUGUUAUGCUCAUAUAUUGCUUAGCCAUGCUCGUAGACGGGGAUUGGUUCGUGUGAUUCAUGGAAGUUGUGAGAGCUAAUAAUUUUGGACAACAUUAAGGUGGAAACUUUAAUACACAUCUGGGUGGAUUGGUUGGGGCACUUGGAGAAACCAGUGCUUUCCCAUGGGAAUCCCGGAGUACCCGUGUGAUUUUCCCUCGGUUCUCCGCCCAGGCCCAAAGGGAUCAUAUGACACUUCAUGCCUAGAAACUUUCAUGUGCAUCCACAAGCAAUUAUGGGCUCUGGCAUAGUUGAGUAAGUUGUGUGAGCUCUUGAAGAGGUGGACUAGCAGAUUUAGGGGAAAGUAUGUGUACCGGUCUACCUAGAGUAGAGAGUUAAUGCUUCAGAAAGGCUAUAUCGAUCUUCCGAUCAUGGAUGCAGACGAGUCUUGUGCGGAAAAGUGCGCAAACCUCUACAGAGUGUAUAAACUAAUCAUGGUUAAUCGUGUCCCCGGUUCUGGACAAUUUGAGUAUCUAGAAGUGGAUAUUUAUGUUGAUCUCAUCACUCUUUAAUUAAUGUAUUGGGUUUAAUGUUGAUACUUGAUUUUAAUGGUGGGAUUUGAGUUGGAGGAACUUUCUCAACAUGGUAUAAACUAGUAGUAAAUAAAAUUUAUUCCUUUGUUGUAGGAAAAAAUUAUAUUUAUGCAAAAAGUUAAACUUAGAGCCUCUACCAGCCAAAUAUGCAUGUAGAUAUAGUUUCUUUCAUUCAUUUGCUCUAUGCUACCUCUUGAGCAUGCGUUGGUUUUUCCCUUGAAGAGAAAAGGGUGAUGCAGCAAAGUAGCGUAAGUAUUUCCCUCAGUUUUGAGAACCAAGGUAUCAAUCCAGUAGGAGAUGACACACAAGUCACCUAGUACUUGCACAAACAAUCAAGAACCUUGCAACCAACACGAUAAAGGGGUUGUCAAUCCCUUCACAAUCACUCGCAAAAGUGAGAUCUGAUAGUGAUAAUAAAGUAAAUAUUUUUGGUAUUUUUGUUGUAUAGAUUGGAAAGUAAAGAUUGCAAAAUAGUAAACAAGAUGUGAUGUAAACAAAAGAGAUGUAAUAAUAAGAAAGAGACCCGGGGGCCAUAGGUUUCACUAGUGGCUUCUCUCAAGAUAGCAUGUAUUACGGUGGGUGAACAAAUUACUGCCGAGCAAUUGAUAGAAGAGAGCAUAAUUAUGAAGACAUCUAAGGCAAUGAUCAUGAACAUAGGCAUCACGUCUGUGUCAAGUAGACCGAAACGGUUCUGCAUCUACUACUAUUACUCCACACAUCGACCACUAUCGAGCAUGCAUCUAGAGUAUUAACUUCAUAAGAAUGGAGUAACGCAUUAAGCAAGAUGAAAUGAUGUAGAGGGAUAAACUCAAGCAAUAUGAUAUAAACCCCAUAUUUUUAUCCUCGAUGGCAACAAUACAAUACGUGCCUUGCUGCCCCUACUGUCACUGGGAAAGGACACCACAAGAUUGAACCCAAAGCUAAGCACUUCUCCUAUUGCAAGAAAGAUCAAUCUAGUAGGCCAAACUAAACCGAUAAUUCGAAGAGACUUGCAAAGAUAUCAAAUCAUGCAUAUAAGAAUUCAGGGAAGAACCAAAUAAUAUUCAUAGAUAAUCUUGUUCGUAAAUCCACAAUUCAUUGAAUCUCGGCAAACACACCGCAAAAGAAUAUUACAUCGAAUAGAUCUCCAAGAACACCGAGGAGAACUUUGUAUUGAGAAUCAAAGAGAGAGAAGAAGCCAUCUAGCUAAGAACUAUUGACCCAAAGGUCUGUGGUAAACUACUCAUGCUUCAUCGGAGAGGCAAUGGUGUUGAUGUAGAAGCCCUCCGUGAUCGAUUCCCCCUCCGGUAGAUCGCCGGAAAAGGCCCCAAGAUGGGAUCUCACGGGUACAGAAGGUUGCGACGGUGGAAAAGUGGUUUUGUGGCUCCCUCUGAUGUUUCUAGGGUAUAAGAGUAUAUAUAGGCGAAAGAAGUACGUUGGUGGAGCUACAAGGGGCCCACGAGGGUGGGGGCGUGCGUACCCGGGCGUGCCCUCCUGCCUCGUGGCCUCCUUGUAGAGUCCCAGACUUCAACUCCAAGUCUUCUGGAUUGCUUUUGGUCCAAGAAAGAUCCUCGCAAAGGUUUCAUUCCAUUUGGACUCCGUUUGGUAUUCCUUUUCUGUAAACUCUAAAAUAGGCAAAAAAGAGAAACUGGCACUGGGGUUAAUAGGUUAGUCCCAAAAAUAAUACAAAAGAGCAUAUUAAAGCCCAUUAAACAUCCAAAAUAGAUAAUAUAAUAGCAUGGGACAAUUAAAAAUUAUAGAUAUGUUGGAGACGUAUCAAGCAUCCCCAAGCUUAAUUCCUGCUUGUCCUCAAGUAGGUAAAUGAUAAAAAUAGAAUUUUUGAUGUGGAAUGCUACCUAGCAUAUUUAUCAAUGUAAUUUUCUUUAUUGUGGCAUGAAUGUUCAGAUCCGAAAGAUUCAAGGCAAAAGUUUAAUAUUGACAUAAAAAUAA
RNAcentral lists this long non-coding RNA (32506 nucleotides) under Triticum aestivum (bread wheat). Its description in RNAcentral is "long non-coding RNA (TAES_LNC004132)". Lineage: Eukaryota; Viridiplantae; Streptophyta; Magnoliopsida; Poales; Poaceae. The record is from RNAcentral.